GCCCAGAUGAGCGCCAGUGGUCUGGUGUGCGGGCUUCAAACCCGUAGCUGAGGAAAAAUUAGAGUGGUUCGAUUCCACCUUCUGGGCG
This 88-nucleotide transfer RNA is filed under the name Caerostris extrusa. Its description in RNAcentral is "tRNA-Sec". It matches the Rfam family "Selenocysteine transfer RNA". The record is from RNAcentral. Lineage: Eukaryota; Metazoa; Arthropoda; Arachnida; Araneae; Araneidae.